GAUGAACGCUGGCGGCGUGCCUAAUACAUGCAAGUCGAGCGAACGGACGAGAAGCUUGCUUCUCUGAUGUUAGCGGCGGACGGGUGAGUAAUACGUGGAUAACCUACCUAUAAGACUGGGAUAACUUCGGGAAACCGGAGCUAAUACCGGAUAAUAUUUUGAACCGCAUGGUUCAAAAGUGAAAGACGGUCUUGCUGUCACUUAUAGAUGGAUCCGCGCUGCAUUAGCUAGUUGGCAAGGUAACGGCUUACCAAGGCAACGAUGCAUAGCCGACCUGAGAGGGUGAUCGGCCACACUGGAACUGAGACACGGUCCAGACUCCUACGGGAGGCAGCAGUAGGGAAUCUUCCGCAAUGGGCGAAAGCCUGACGGAGCAACGCCGCGUGAGUGAUGAAGGUCUUCGGAUCGUAAAACUCUGUUAUUAGGGAAGAACAUAUGUGUAAGUAACUGUGCACAUCUUGACGGUACCUAAUCAGAAAGCCACGGCUAACUACGUG
This 497-nucleotide ribosomal RNA is filed under the name uncultured bacterium. RNAcentral describes it as "partial 16S ribosomal RNA". It matches the Rfam family "Bacterial small subunit ribosomal RNA", at positions 28 to 507 of the family's 1533-position model. The record is from RNAcentral.